This 484-nucleotide ribosomal RNA is filed under the name uncultured beta proteobacterium. Its description in RNAcentral is "bacterial SSU rRNA". It matches the Rfam family "Bacterial small subunit ribosomal RNA", at positions 898 to 1386 of the family's 1533-position model. Lineage: Bacteria; Pseudomonadati; Pseudomonadota; Betaproteobacteria. The record is from RNAcentral.
AACUCAAAGGAAUUGACGGGGACCCGCACAAGCGGUGGAUGAUGUGGUUUAAUUCGAUGCAACGCGAAAAACCUUACCCACCUUUGACAUGUACGGAAGUUACCAGAGAUGGUUUCGUGCUCGAAAGAGAACCGUAACACAGGUGCUGCAUGGCUGUCGUCAGCUCGUGUCGUGAGAUGUUGGGUUAAGUCCCGCAACGAGCGCAACCCUUGUCAUUAGUUGCUACGAAAGGGCACUCUAAUGAGACUGCCGGUGACAAACCGGAGGAAGGUGGGGAUGACGUCAAGUCCUCAUGGCCCUUAUAGGUGGGGCUACACACGUCAUACAAUGGCUGGUACAGAGGGUUGCCAACCCGCGAGGGGGAGCUAAUCCCAUAAAACCAGUCGUAGUCCGGAUCGCAGUCUGCAACUCGACUGCGUGAAGUCGGAAUCGCUAGUAAUCGCGGAUCAGAAUGUCGCGGUGAAUACGUUCCCGGGUCUUGUAC